Molecule: ribosomal RNA, 446 nt
Filed under: uncultured bacterium
Lineage: Bacteria
Description: partial 16S ribosomal RNA
Rfam family: Bacterial small subunit ribosomal RNA
Source: RNAcentral
CCUACGGGGGGCAGCAGUCGAGAAUCAUUCACAAUGGGGGAAACCCUGAUGGUGCGACGCCGCGUGGGGGAAUGAAGGUCUUCGGAUUGUAAACCCCUGUCAUGUGGGAGCAAAUUAAAAAGAUAGUACCACAAGAGGAAGAGACGGCUAAAUCUGUGCCAGCAGCCGCGGUAAUACAGAGGUCUCAAGCGUUGUUCGGAAUCACUGGGCGUAAAGCGUGCGUAGGCUGUUUCGGAAGCCGGGUGUGAAAGCCGCGGCACCAACCCGCGGACGGCACAUGAUACUGCGAGGCUAGAGUAAUGGAGGGGGAACCGGAAUUAUCGGUGUAGCAGUGAAAGGCGUAGAUAUCGAGAGGAACACUCGUGGCGAAGGCGGGUUCCUGGACAUUAACUGACGCUGAGGCACGAAGGCCAGGGGAGCGAAAGGGAUUAGAUACCCUAGUAGUC